UUUACGUAGAAAAAGAGGGAUUGCUGUUUGCUGAACGCAUUAGACAGCAUUUAUAGUAGAGUUAUCGAGAAAAUUAGUAGAUUAAUAGGGAUUAUGGAAUGUAUCAUGAAAUUUAGUGGUUCGAGGUGGGACUUCAAAAAUUAAUGAGGGAUAAAUAGUAGGAAAACCUAUAAUUUUACCAGUGCACUAUAGUGUGGAGAUUUGACAGGAAUGAAAUAUUGUUCAACUGCCUACGGUCAGCCAGGUUUUUGAGGCUCAGUCAG
Non-coding RNA from Cinara cedri, 263 nucleotides. Lineage: Eukaryota; Metazoa; Arthropoda; Insecta; Hemiptera; Aphididae. The record is from the annotation of a GenBank genome assembly.